GACGAACGCUGGCGGCGUGCCUAAUACGUGCAAGUCGAGCGGACGAAUCGAAAGCUUGCUUUUGAUUCGUUAGCGGCGGACGGGUGAGUAACACGUGGGCAACCUGCCCUGUAGACGGGGAUAACACCGAGAAAUCGGUGCUAAUACCGGAUAACACGAAAUGUCGCAUGACGUUUCGUUGAAAGACGGCGCAAGCUGCCGCUACAGGAUGGGCCCGCGGCGCAUUAGCUAGUUGGUGAGGUAACGGCUCACCAAGGCGACGAUACGUAGCCGACCUGAGAGGGUGAUCGGCCACACUGGGACUGAGACACGGCCCAGACUCCUACGGGAGGCAGCAGUAGGGAAUCUUCCGCAAUGGACGAAAGUCUGACGGAGCAACGCCGCGUGAGCGAAGAAGGCCUUCGGGUCGUAAAGCUCUGUUGUUAGGGAAGAACAAGUAACGCAGUAACUGGCGUUACCGUGACGGUACCUAACGAGAAAGCCACGGCUAACUACGUG
Molecule: ribosomal RNA, 498 nt
Filed under: uncultured bacterium
Lineage: Bacteria
Description: partial 16S ribosomal RNA
Rfam family: Bacterial small subunit ribosomal RNA
Source: RNAcentral